GAUUCUAACUCACUGAGUUAUCACUAUGGGAAAUUGCAGUUCCUCCGAUUCAACUCAGGUUGCUACGUCAAAACUCGUUCACGUAGAUGGAACGUUACAAGAAUUUUCUUACCCGGUUAAGGUAUCGUACCUGUUGCAAGAACACUCGACGUGUUUUAUAUGCAACUCAGACGAAAUGGACUUCGACGACGUCGUUAAAGCGGUUCAUGAAGAUGACGUGUUGCAACCUGGUCAGCUUUAUUUCGCUCUUCCGUUGAGCCGGUUGGACCAGCCAUUGCAGGCGGCUGAGAUGGCUGCAUUGGCCGUCAAGGCCAGCUCCGCGCUCAUGAAAAGAGGCGGCGCCGAUAAUAAAUGUUAUUGUCGCCGUAAACGUCUUGUGUUUUCGGAAGAAGAUUGUUCUAGUCCUUGUCGGAAUAUUCCUCCGACAAUCCGUACCGGUAACGAUACGAUUCAUAGAUCAAGGAGGGGAAGGACUACGAAUGGCGGUAGGGAGAAGUUUACGGCGUUUUUGAGUGCCAUACCGGAGUAGGGUUCAAAAAUGUGCUCCGGUGAUUUUGUUUCUCUUGUAUAUAUAUAAAUUCAAAAAUAUAUUUAUCAUAUAACAUCCCACACAUUGUAGAGCCAUUCCAUGGAACAAUGGAAAUGAUUAGAUUCAUAAAGAGUUAGAUCCAGUCUUUUUGUUUUGUAAAAAAAAAGAAGAUCCAGUCUUAUUGGAAAUAUAUUAUUAUGUUCUUUUUUUUAAUUUCAUUAGUCCAAUUUUUUGUACAUAUUCAAUUAAAGUAGAUAAGGUAUUUUUCAGUGUAAUACUGUUUUCUAUUGUUGAAAAGAAAUGAAAGCAAUACAGUAUAGUUACAUAAGCAUCGACGAACAUAAACAGAUCAUAUAAACAUGUAGUAGCAGUAGUUGAUACCUAUUGAUGGUAACUUGGGAGCAGACUAGAGCAAUUGUGACCUUUAAAUUGUAAUCACUAGCUAGCAUUCUACAAUUAGAUCCUUAAUUUUGUGCUUGCAUAAACUAUUUGAUGAAAGAAACAACUAGUCAUAUAGAAUUAUUGCGUUGAAUAUAUUUUACAAGAGAUCUGCAUCGUGAUGUGCCAAACUGAUUAGGCAUUAUGCAAAUGAUGGAUUGAAAAUGGUUAUUUUGGAUCUAUUUUGAUUUCUGAAUGACAAAUUCACGUUCAAAUCUCACCAAUGAUGUAGAUUCUUUGCAUAACGACUAGAUUUUCAAAUGUGUAAUUAACAAAUGAGUAAAUUACCCGUUUUAGCGAAAUUAUACAAAUCAUCCCUUACUUUUUACACUUCGCCAACCCCUAAUAUCUAUACUUUUAUUAAGUUAAAUAAAACAUUGUAUAUAAUAGAGAUAAGUUCAAAUAAUAUACAAAUUAAUAUAUCUUUAAUAUUUUUUAUUACAUAAUAUAUAAAAAAAAUUAAAGAGAUAUUGUUUAAAUCGUUAUUGUAAUAUAUUAUAAUGAACCAGAAAUAAUAAAGAUACAUUGAUUUGUAUAUUAUUUGGACUUGUCUCCACAAUACAUCAUGUUUGUUUAACUUAAUUGCAUUUAUCACAUUUUUUGUUUAAAAGAUUACACUUAUUUUUCACGUAGAGUGAUGAAUGUAAUAAAAUUAUAAAAAUCAGUGGGUUUGUGUAAGUAUAAAAAAAUAAAAGAUGAUUUGUAUAUAAAAUUCAGGAUGUAUUAAUGUAAUUUACUCUUAACAAAACAAAUUGACGGAUGAUACAAAGGAUGGAAGAAUCAGAGAUUUAUUUUCUAAAGAAUUAUAAUAAGAAUAGUAAUCGAAACUCCAAACCGAGUUUUGUUGAACAAAAGUGAAAUUCUUUUACUUCUUUAGGGAAUGCUUCUUUGGUUGUUAUCAACGAUUGUUCUCAAUUAUAUAUCAGAUUAAUACAAUUAAAACAAAAACAAAAUAGAUGAUAAAUAUUUAAUUUUUUAAUUAAUAUGUUUGUUAGCAUGUGAUGUUAUUAAUAUAAUAAAUGUUGAAUGUAUCCUUACAAUAACAUGACGUAUAAGGGUUAAAUCAUUAUUUAACAUUUUGAUAAAGUUAAAUAUAUAAUAUUAAUAUUAAAAAACUGAUAAACAAGAUAACAAAUAGUCCUCAUCAAAAUAAAUGUUAUUUUGCUAAACCACAUUUUGAAGGUACAAGUUGAGGUGAAACAAAUAUUAUUAUAUUUAAAAUUUUAAUAUAAAAAUGCAUAUAUAUAUAUAUAUAUAUAAUAUAAUGUAAUUGUUAAUGUUAGAUGAAUAUAUUAAAAUCAUUUAUGUUACGUUAAUCUAUUUGAAGGUAUCUGUGUUAGACAAUUUAAUAAUGAUUUGUAGCAUAAUAGAUUUUUAAAUAUGUUAAAAAGGUUUAAAUAGACUUUUAAACAAGUAUUUAGUUUUAUUUUAAAUUAGGUUAGGCUCACACUGUUAUUUGUUAUAAAUGCUCAAUCUAUUUAAGACUAUUUAAGGUAGAGUUUGACUUGUUUCUAUCUUUAAGCAUAAGUAAAGGUGAUAAUGCUAUGUUCCCGCAUCAAUAGGACAAUACUGUAAAUAUCAAUUUAUUUGUUUAAUUGUAUAUGAAAAUAAAAAACUGAAUGGCACAAUACUAAUAAGUUGAUCAAUUUUCACUUACUUUCACUGAUAUGAUAUAUAUAAUUGUUGUAUCAUAUAAGUAUAAGGUUAGGUUCAAUCAAAUCAAACAAUACGAAACAAUAUAUUUAAAUAUGGAAAUACAUACCAAUUCUAAUAGCAAAACUGUCAUAGCUCAAGUGCUUAUAUAAUUGAAGGGAAAAUUAGUUUGAUGAAUUAUUAAAAUAGGUUCAAACCUAAAAGAUAUAUUGAGAUCUGAGGAAAAAACUCCAUUUAUUAAAGAGGGACAAAUAUAUGUUUACAUAUAGUAUGUAGGUUGAUGAAGAUAGCGUGAUCCUUAUCCUAGAGGGUCUGUUACUGGUAAAAGGACAAAGAAAAUUGCAUCUAAAAUGUUCUCUUUCAAUUUUCGAAUUCUCUAUCCACUUCAUGCAUGGCUGAUAGUUGACUAAUUCGACAUUAUUACAUUUGGUCCUAUAUAAUGAAAGGGUCAAUCGCAAAUAAUUCAAAUUUGGUGUUUACUACUACAUGGAUGUUAUGGAGUCGAGUUUUGACAAAAUAGGAAGAUAGAUAGCUAGCCAUGUAUGGAAGAGGAUGAAAUAAAAAUAAAUUUGGGCAAAGCCCAUGAAAUGGCACCACUAUAUAUAUAUAUAUAUAUAGAGAGAAUGUGGAUAAAAAUCAUAUAUUCUAAAUGGUGUCUAACUUUGUAUCUCAAGUCAAUCAAAGUGUUUCAUUUUGUUACUUUUUGUUUUUUAAUUUUUUUUCUUUUAUUAUAUGAUUGGUUUACUACAGAAAAUGGUACGUGGGUAUCUAAAAAAUUAUCCAAAGUUGAGAUUGGAAAAGGACUAAUAAGUAAGGGGCACAAUUUGGCACAUAAAGCAUAGGCAUUGCCGCACCCAAUAAAACAAGAAUGGGCAUGUCAUUGGCACGGUUUAGGGGCAGUGAGUGAUGGAAUUGUUUACAGCUGUUUUAAUAAGCAUUUGGUCAGAAGUCGUAAGAUGGAUGGUCGUAAGGAAUGGAGUGUAGGAAGUGAUGGGUUUAAGUCUCACCAUCAACAAAAAAAAAUGGGAGUUAUAAGGUGAAUAGAUGGUAGAGAGUAGGAGGUUGAGGGUUCGAGUCUCACCAUAAAAAAAAAUAGUCUUUAAGGUUGUAAUAAUAAUAAUAAAUAAUAAGCAUCUGAUUAAUAUAUAGUUGAAUCUUACAUUAUAUAUUAGUGUAAAAUAGAGUAUUAAUGAGAGGUUUAAAUUCGAAUGGUUUAAGAGUUGAGACUUUUAAUUGAAAGUAAUGAAUCUUGUCAUAUUUUUUAUAAUAGGAAAAUGAUAUUUUUUCUACUAAAUCCUCACAUUCAUAAGAAAAUGACAUAUGAAACAAAGUGAAUGUAAUACUUAAUUUAUUAACCAAUGAUUGGUUUCAAGUGACCCAUAUCACUUUCUUAUGAGUAUUAAGAUUUAGUAAAAAUAUAUGUAAUAUCAAAUAUUUGUACAUUUGUCAAAUAAGAUAAUUAUACACUCAGAAAAUUUCUUACUUAUAGUAAGGAGAUAUGGUUCGAUAUAGAAAAAAAAUCAAAUAUCUUAUUUAAACAAAUUAUAUAUUAUAUUAAUGAUGUACGAAUCUAAAUAAUUGGACUAAUGUCUUUAAAAUCUUAUUGAUCAAAAUAAUGAUGUCGUAAAAGUCAAAGAGUCUUCAUGUUAAUUUCUAUUCUUAGAAAUGAUGACAAUCAUUUCUUCAACACCGCAAAAAUGUUCGAGAUAAAAAAGAUUUAGGCAUGUUUAUAACUUUUUAUUUGUAUUUUUAUUUAAGAUUUACAAAAUAUUCUAUUUUUAUUAGUUUUAGUGGGAUUAGUCUCACAUUAUUUUAUAAAAAGAAAUAGGUAUUAAAAGUGAUCAAAGUUUAAAUUAAAACUAAGAGCAAUGGAAAAUAAUACUUAUAAUAGAAAAUAUUAUAUCAUCAUAUUAAAACGGUCUAAAAAUUUCAUAACCAUGAAAAAGACAUUUGUCACCUGAAUGACAUAACAUAUGUCAAAAUGAAAUAACACGUGUCAUUAUUCAAUGUUCAUAAGGAUCUUUAAAUUUAUUUGUUAUUAGACUCUUUAUAAUAACUAAAAAAAAUUAAUCUAAUAAUAACUGUGCUAGAAUAGAGUUAUGGUAUUAAUAUGGUAGAAAAUGGGGAGUACAAGCAACUCUAUCUAUCUGGUUUAGAGGUAAUCACAAUUUAUGAAAGAGAUUAAUUAAUUAUUUAUAAGAUAAGAUAAUAUCUUUGUAGUAUAAAAAAUCAUCUUUUAUUCAUGCAAGAAAAAUUAACCUCAUAUAACCCUUUUAUUUACCAACAAAAAAAGUUAUUUUCAAAAUUUAAUUUGUUAACCAUAAUAAUUCUAGGAAUUUCCCUUUAUCUAAGAUGAGGCACUGUAACUUUUUUGGUCAAUAUUUUAAUGGUUUUAUUAUCUUUUAUAAUUUACAUAUUAAAUUAUUUAUUUAAUAGUAUUUAAAUAUUUUAACCAAAUUACUUGAAAAUGGAAACUUCAAUUCCAAUUCAUAUUUCAGAAAAUUAAAAGAUAAAAAGGUCAAGCUGAAUUUAAUUAAAAAUGUAAAUUUGAAAAAUUCACUUUUAAUAAUUUAGCUUAUUUAUUUUGUAAUUUUAUUUAAAAUUCAGUGUACAUCUGCAAUUGCAAGAGAAAAACUAUUUUCUAGAAAAGAAACCAAGUAUUAUGAAUAUAUUAUCAUCAAUAAGUAAAUCUAUUUGGGACAAUUAUAGUAUGACAAAUGUAAUUUAUAUUUUGAAUUUAUAUCAAAAUUUGGAUUAGAUUUAUGCACACUAUUAUUUUAAUGUGCAAGCUUACAUGUUACAGGAGCCUCUCCUGUCAAUUACAUAUUUAAAAUCCAUAUAAUUUGGAGAAAAUAUAUAUUGUUUGCUACUAAAAUUGUAUGACAUUAUUUUUUAUUGGUUGAUUUAAAUAAUUGAUAAGUGAAUUGGAAAAUUAUAAUUUUCAAAAACAUAUCUUUCCGAUAAAUUGACCUAGAAGUAGCAUAAAUUUGCUACCAUGAGAACAUAAAUUAAUACUGAAAUUGACGUUAUUAAGGGAUUCCAAUCCCUUGGUAUGAAAAUGGGACAUAUUCUAUUAGAAGCCAGUCUAAGAUGAGCUAUAUAUAUAUAUAUAUAUAUACCGUAAGACACUGUCCCACACGGUGAAUAUUUAUAAUAAUGGUCCAAAAUUUCAAUCCUAGUGGCAGGUUGCGUAAUUUAAUUUUUGAUCUCGAAAAUAGAGUCAGGUUCUCUCUCACUAAUGCGAGGGAUUAUUACAACCUGUCAACAACAACUUACAGGCUGGAAAGCCAUUCCCACUGUUUCAAAUAAAACUGAAUUUUAGUAAUUUAAAAUUAAACGAUUAACUAUAAUAUCCUACGUGGCAUAUCAGUAUCUUCCUAUAUAUAUUCUCUCCCUCGUGCUCCUUUUUUCUCCAGCUCAUACCAAAUUUCCCUUUUUAACACCGAGUCACAACUGAUUCUAACUCACUGAGUUAUCACUAUGGGAAAUUGCAGUUCCUCCGAUUCAACUCAGGUUGCUACGUCAAAACUCGUUCACGUAGAUGGAACGUUACAAGAAUUUUCUUACCCGGUUAAGGUAUCGUACCUGUUGCAAGAACACUCGACGUGUUUUAUAUGCAACUCAGACGAAAUGGACUUCGACGACGUCGUUAAA
RNAcentral lists this long non-coding RNA (6274 nucleotides) under Lupinus angustifolius (narrow-leaved blue lupine). RNAcentral describes it as "long non-coding RNA (LANG_LNC000903)". The record is from RNAcentral. Lineage: Eukaryota; Viridiplantae; Streptophyta; Magnoliopsida; Fabales; Fabaceae.